UUUAAGGUCUAACCUGCCCAAUGAGGAUUUAAAUGGCCGCAGUAUUUUGACUGUGCAAAGGUAGCAUAAUUAUUAGUUUUUUAAUUGAAAGCUUGCAUGAAGGGUUGGACGAGAUAAAAUCUGUCUUUAUUUAAAUUAAAGUAUAAUUUAACUUUUAAGUCAAAAGGCUUAAAUGUUUAUAAAAGACGAGAAGACCCUAUAGAUCUUUAUUUAGUUAAGAUUUUAAUAAUUUAGGAUUAUUUUAAUUUGGAGUUUUAAUUAAAUUUUAUUGGGGUAAUAUAAAGAUUAAAUUAAUUCUUUUUAUUUAUAACAUUAAUUUAUGAAUAUGUGAUCCAUUAAUAUUGAUUAUAAGAUUAAGUUACCUUAGGGAUAACAGCGUAAUUUUUUUGGAGAGCUCAUAUCGAUAAGAAAGUUUGCGACCUCGAUGUUGGAUUAAAAAUUAGCUUGGGUGCAGAAGCUCAAGAUUUUGGUCUGUUCGACCAUUAAAUUUUUACAUGAUCUGAGUUCAGACCGGCGUAAGCCAGGUCGGUUUCUAUCUUUAUUCAGAUAAAAUAUUUUAGUACGAAAGGACCAAGUAUUUAAUAUAAUUAUAUUUAUUUUUU
RNAcentral lists this ribosomal RNA (602 nucleotides) under Cicindela (Rivacindela) sp. JP-52. Its description in RNAcentral is "partial 16S ribosomal RNA". It matches the Rfam family "Bacterial large subunit ribosomal RNA", at positions 1844 to 2726 of the family's 2925-position model. The record is from RNAcentral. Lineage: Eukaryota; Metazoa; Arthropoda; Insecta; Coleoptera; Carabidae.